GUAGGUGGCAAGCGUUGUCCGGGAAUUAUUGGGGCGUAAAGCGCGCGCAGGCGGUUCGUUUAAGUCUGAUGUGAAAGCCCACGGGCUCAACCGUGGAGGGUCAUUGGAAACUGGAGAACUUGAGAACAGAAGAGGAAAGCGGAAUUCCACGUGUAGCGGUGAAAUGCGUAGAGAUGUGGAGGAACACCAGUGGCGAAGGCGGCUUUCUGGUCUGUAACUGACGCUGAGGCGCGAAAGCGUGGGGAGCAAACAGGAUUAGAUACCCUGGUAGUCCACGCCGUAAACGAUGAGUGCUAAGUGUUAGGGGGGUUUCCGCCCCUUAGUGCUGCAGCUAACGCAUUAAGCACUCCGCCUGGGGAGUACGGCCGCAAAGGCUGA
Molecule: ribosomal RNA, 378 nt
Filed under: uncultured organism
Description: partial 16S ribosomal RNA
Rfam family: Bacterial small subunit ribosomal RNA
Source: RNAcentral